GUCUUUGUGGUGUAGUGGUCAGCACGCUCGACGCGUGACCGAGAGAUCCGUGGUUCGAGUCCCGGGGAAGACG
This is a non-coding RNA of Stegodyphus mimosarum, 73 nucleotides long. The record is from Rfam. Lineage: Eukaryota; Metazoa; Arthropoda; Arachnida; Araneae; Eresidae.